GAUCCUGGCUCAGAUUGAACGCUGGCGGCAGGCUUAACACAUGCAAGUCGAACGGUAACAUAAAGAAGCUUGCUUCUUUGAUGACGAGUGGCGGACGGGUGAGUAAUGCUUGGGAAUCUAGCUUAUGGAGGGGGGAUAACUACGGGAAACUGUAGCUAAUACCGCGUAGUAUCGGAAGAUGAAAGUGUGGGACCUUCGGGCCACAUGCCAUAGGAUGAGCCCAAGUGGGAUUAGGUAGUUGGUG
This 244-nucleotide ribosomal RNA is filed under the name uncultured bacterium. RNAcentral describes it as "partial 16S ribosomal RNA". It matches the Rfam family "Bacterial small subunit ribosomal RNA", at positions 15 to 254 of the family's 1533-position model. The record is from RNAcentral.